RNAcentral lists this long non-coding RNA (316 nucleotides) under Capsicum annuum. RNAcentral's name for it is "long non-coding RNA (CANN_LNC010328)". Lineage: Eukaryota; Viridiplantae; Streptophyta; Magnoliopsida; Solanales; Solanaceae. The record is from RNAcentral.
UUGCUUGUUUCUCAGUUUUCACUGGUUGCUAUAUGCUCUUUGUAUGGGGAAUCAUCUUUGCUUAAAAAUUAAGUUCUGUACUUUGGUACACACACCAUCUCAUUGAUAAAUGUUUAACUUCAAUAAAAAAUAAAAGAUGGAAUACAUAUACAGGCCACUGAACUAUUUCACUUUUCCCGUAUAGGCACCUCAAUUAAGCCAGGGUUUGUAUGUAUGUAUAUAUAUAGAGAGACGGAUACAUAUAUAGGCCCCUGAACUAUUUCACUUUUCCCGUAUAGGCACCUCAAUUAAGUCAGGUACGUAUUGAACCCUUUAC